AGUGAACGCUGGCGGUAGGCCUAACACAUGCAAGUCGAACGGCAGCACAGUAAGAGCUUGCUCUUACGGGUGGCGAGUGGCGGACGGGUGAGGAAUACAUCGGAAUCUACUUUUUCGUGGGGGAUAACGUAGGGAAACUUACGCUAAUACCGCAUACGACCUACGGGUGAAAGCAGGGGAUCUUCGGACCUUGCGCGAUUGGAUGAGCCGAUGUCGGAUUAGCUAGUUGGCGGGGUAAAGGCCCACCAAGGCGACGAUCCGUAGCUGGUCUGAGAGGAUGAUCAGCCACACUGGAACUGAGACACGGUCCAGACUCCUACGGGAGGCAGCAGUGGGGAAUAUUGGACAAUGGGCGCAAGCCUGAUCCAGCCAUACCGCGUGGGUGAAGAAGGCCUUCGGGUUGUAAAGCCCUUUUGUUGGGAAAGAAAAGCAGCAGGUUAAUACCCCGCUGUUCUGACGGUACCCAAAGAAUGAGCACCGGCUAACUUCGUG
This 492-nucleotide ribosomal RNA is filed under the name uncultured bacterium. Its description in RNAcentral is "partial 16S ribosomal RNA". It matches the Rfam family "Bacterial small subunit ribosomal RNA", at positions 29 to 507 of the family's 1533-position model. The record is from RNAcentral.